RNAcentral lists this ribosomal RNA (545 nucleotides) under uncultured eukaryote. RNAcentral's name for it is "eukaryotic LSU rRNA". It matches the Rfam family "Eukaryotic large subunit ribosomal RNA", at positions 808 to 1344 of the family's 3401-position model. The record is from RNAcentral.
GUUAGGACCCGAAAGAUGGUGAACUAUGCCUGAGUAGGGGCAAAGUCAGAGGAAACUCUGAUGGAGGCUCGAAGGGGUUCUGACGUGCAAAUCGAUCUUCAAACUUGGGUAUAGGGGCGAAAGACUAAUCGAACCAUCGAGUAGCUGGUUCCCUCCGAAGUUUCCCUCAGGAUAGCUGGAACUUAAGAAGAAGUAGUUUUAUCAGGUAAAGCGAAUGAUUAGAGGCUUUGGGGAAGAAACUUCCUCGACCUAUUCUCAAACUUUAAAUAGGUAAGAUUUGAAGGAUACUUAAGUGAUCUUUCAAUCUCUUGAAUAUCAAGUUCUUAGUGGGCCAUUUUUGGUAAGCAGAACUGGCGAUGUGGGAUGAACCGAACGUUAAGUUAAAGUGCCAAAUAAUACGCUCAUGAGAUACCAUAAAAGGUGUUGGUUCAUUUUGACAGCAGGACGGUGGCCAUGGAAGUCGGGAACCCGCUAAGGAGUGUGUAACAACUCACCUGCCGAAUGAACUAGCCCUGAAAAUGGAUGGCGCUUAAGCGUAUAACUUA